RNAcentral lists this transfer RNA (68 nucleotides) under Mycolicibacterium wolinskyi. Its description in RNAcentral is "tRNA-Phe". It matches the Rfam family "tRNA", at positions 14 to 71 of the family's 71-position model. From Rfam's summary of the family: Transfer RNA (tRNA) molecules are approximately 80 nucleotides in length. Their secondary structure includes four short double-helical elements and three loops (D, anti-codon, and T loops). Further hydrogen bonds mediate the characteristic L-shaped molecular structure. tRNAs have two regions of fundamental functional importance: the anti-codon, which is responsible for specific mRNA codon recognition, and the 3' end, to which the tRNAs corresponding amino acid is attached (by aminoacyl-tRNA synthetases). tRNAs cope with the degeneracy of the genetic code in two manners: having more than one tRNA (with a specific anti-codon) for a particular amino acid; and 'wobble' base-pairing, i.e. permitting non-standard base-pairing at the 3rd anti-codon position. The record is from RNAcentral. Lineage: Bacteria; Bacillati; Actinomycetota; Actinomycetes; Mycobacteriales; Mycobacteriaceae.
CUUGCGGUGUGUCGAGAAUCGUCCGCCUGAAAAGCGGAAGGUCGCCGGUUCGAUCCCGGCCCUGGCCA